This 568-nucleotide long non-coding RNA is filed under the name Chrysolophus pictus (golden pheasant). RNAcentral describes it as "lncRNA (ENSCPIG00010006121.1)". The record is from RNAcentral. Lineage: Eukaryota; Metazoa; Chordata; Aves; Galliformes; Phasianidae.
UUCAGAAACAGUGGCAUUUUGCUAGCAGUUCUUAAGAUGGCUCUUGGAGACAUUUUGAAGUCCUGGGUGGGUAGAAGAGAUAAUCCAGCCUGCCAAGUGCUACGCACUCAUUCCAGUGCCAAAAUACAAAACACACACCGACAGCUUUAAUGAGGAGGAACUGCAGAAGUGCAUUUCAGACCUAUCUUCCAAAUGAGGAAAACAGACAGUGGGCAGCAACCUGGCCUAAGAUUUGUGGUAAGCAAGGCCCUAAUUCUGCCUCUGGUCAGAUGGACCUCGAGAGCCAUAGGGCCUGGUUGAGUUAAUGCAACGUGAGUGCCUGGAAGUUUCUACUCUGAAGAACUGACUUUUGGCCUGAAUGUAAAUUUGUAUUUCAUUUCCACGUCUACUUGCUUCUAAUUCAUGAUAAUUGUCCUUUAAGGUGGUAUUGUUUUUGAGUCUUAGGCACAUCUCCUUUAGUAGCAUUUGUAUUCAGUGUUCUCUGGAUAUUGUCAGACAGUUAAAAUAUUUCUGUUGUGUCCUGUACCAAAAACUCCAGAUUGAUGUGAUUAGUGUUGCAUUUUUACAU